GAUGAACGCUGGCGGCGUGCCUAAUACAUGCAAGUCGAGCGAACGGACGAGAAGCUUGCUUUUCUGAUGUUAGCGGCGGACGGGUGAGUAACACGUGGAUAACCUACCUAUAAGACUGGGAUAACUUCGGGAAACCGGAGCUAAUACCGGAUAAUAUUUUGAACCGCAUGGUUCAAAAGUGAAAGACGGUCUUGCUGUCACUUAUAGAUGGAUCCGCGCUGCAUUAGCUAGUUGGUAAGGUAACGGCUUACCAAGGCAACGAUGCAUAGCCGACCUGAGAGGGGGAGUAGGCCCACCCGGAACGUGAGACGGGCCCAAGACCUACAGGGGGGGCCGGGGGGGGAAAUUUCCCGAAAGGGGAAAAACCCUGACGGAGAAGCGGCGGGGGGGUGGAAGAGUUUUGCGGAGUGAAAAACUGUUUUAUUGGGGGAAAACAUAUGUGUAAAAAACUGUCCCAAUUUGAAGGGAACUUAAAAAGAAGGCCCGGGCAAACCAGGG
Molecule: ribosomal RNA, 498 nt
Filed under: uncultured bacterium
Lineage: Bacteria
Description: partial 16S ribosomal RNA
Rfam family: Bacterial small subunit ribosomal RNA
Source: RNAcentral